RNAcentral lists this ribosomal RNA (439 nucleotides) under uncultured bacterium. RNAcentral's name for it is "partial 16S ribosomal RNA". It matches the Rfam family "Bacterial small subunit ribosomal RNA", at positions 339 to 795 of the family's 1533-position model. The record is from RNAcentral.
CUACGGGGGGCUCCAGUGGGGAAUAUUGCACAAUGGAGGAAACUCUGAUGCAGCAACGCCGCGUGGAGGAUGACACUUUUCGGAGCGUAAACUCCUUUUAUAUAGGAAGGAGAUGACGGUACUAUAUGAAUAAGCGCCGGCUAACUCCGUGCCAGCAGCCGCGGUAAUACGGAGGGCGCAAGCGUUACUCGGAAUCACUGGGCGUAAAGAGAGUGUAGGCGGAUUAAAAAGUCAGAAGUGAAAUCCUAUAGCUUAACUAUAGAACUGCUUCUGAAACUCUUAAUCUAGAAUAUGGGAGAGGUAGAUGGAAUUUCUGGUGUAGGGGUAAAAUCCGUAGAGAUCAGAAGGAAUACCGAUUGCGAAGGCGAUCUACUAGAACAUUAUUGACGCUGAGACGCGAAAGCGUGGGGAGCAAACAGGAUUAGAUACCCGCGUAGUC